GCGCGUGCUUAGAUCUUUCUUGGUACAUGCAUUGAAUGUCAAAGUCGAUUGGAUAUUCUGCUGCAGGAAAGCUGAUCUCCAUCUCGAAAGACCUCAAAUUGUUUCUGACUUUUCUUAGCUAUCAUCAGAAGUCCAACGUUUCUCUGUUUAGCGUUCUGGUUGCAACUGGUUCCCUUCACAAUCUUUUUACAGAAGUUACAGAACCAUAUUCAAAAACAUCCUUACAUGGAUUGUAUCAGAAAAGCUUUACCAUUUCUUAAAGCAAGAAACGAGGAGGAGGAAGAAGAAGAAGAGAGAUCUUCCAACUUCUUGAAGAAUGGAAGUCUAGUCUUGGAAGAGCUAAUUGAAUCUUUUGGAGGACGAUACAAGCUUCCAAUUAAAAGCUUCACUGCAAAACAACUCAUCAGGGCAUCGAACAAUUUCUCAGAGCAAGUUCCUCACAUGACUGAUAAUGGUUACAUGUUCAGAGGUAACUUAGAAGGCCGUCCAAUAUUAGUUAAACUUUACAGCAAUAUAGGCGACUCUGAUAAAUGCGUUCUUCGUGGAGCUACCCGCGACUUAGUGAUUACUUCACAGAUGAGCCACCUCAAGAAUGUCUUCAAGCUCAUUGGAUGCAGUUUUGAAUUCAAGUGUCCAGCUAUAGUGUAUGAAUGUGCUGGAACUGAACUUCUUGCCAAGUAUCUCAGCCACAAAAAUGAUGCUAAACGACUGUCUUGGGGAAGUAGAAUAAAGAUUGCCAAGGACAUCGCCAAUGUUAUUGGUUAUCUUCAUUCUGCGUUUCCUACACCGAUUAUUUAUAGAGAUUUGACGCCAAAUAAAGUGAUAAUAGACCAAUGUGGUGUUGCUAAACUUUUUGACUUCACAUUUUCAAUAUCUCUUCCUCCUGGAGAACUGCAGGUGGAAGAUCGUGUUAAAGGGACAUUUGGAUACUUAGAGCCUCAAUACACGAUUACAGGCUUUAUUACUCAGAAGACAGAUGUUUAUGGCUUUGGAAUGUUCAUGCUUGUGCUUUUCACUGGAGAAACAGCAAUGGUGAAGUAUCAAGAAGGAACAGUAGAACCGAUUCAUGUCAGAGAUUACAUCAAAGACUGCCUUGACAAUGCUCAAAUUAACCAAAUUUUGGAUCCACAGAUUUUUGAAGGAGAAAACAGUGACGGGCUCAGGCAGAAUUUGCUGGCGUUCCUGGAUCUGGCUUUAAGAUGCACAGAAUAUGAAAGAGCUGAUAGACCGGAUAUGCUUGAUGUUGCAAAAGAGCUCCUCCAUAUUGAGAAGGCUGUUCGUUGCUAGCUCUACCACCACCACCUGAUCAUUGAAUGAGCUCAAAGGCCCGAUCCAUGUUCUUACAGUACAGCUUCAAGAUACAGUAGUACGUCUGUAGGAAGUGAAGGAAUAUUGCAUUGGAUAAUCCAAAACAGACUGAGUGAUGCUGCAGGAAGAUUGUUGUUUCUAUAUAUUACGCCUCCUUAUCUCAUUUUUUGUAGAGGAACUCAAUCCCAGCUAAUAUUUUUGGAGGUCCAUUAUCUCUAUUAAUUACAAAAAAUAUAUAUAUAUUAUAAGGAUAUUACCAAGAGCUUUUUGAGUUAGUAUACUGAUCUUUCCUUCA
Molecule: RNA transcript, 1603 nt
Organism: Coffea arabica (coffee)
Lineage: Eukaryota; Viridiplantae; Streptophyta; Magnoliopsida; Gentianales; Rubiaceae
Gene name: non-functional pseudokinase ZED1-like
Source: RefSeq, a predicted model, not a curated record